CAGCAGACACAUUCCAGCCAAUCAGCAGCAGACCCUCCCUCCCAGACCCUCCCACCUCCUGGACAGCAUCCAUUUUACAUUCAUUGUGAAGCUGCAUUCUUAGUGAGCUGUCCAGGAGGCGGGAGGGUCUGGGAGGGAGGGUCUGCUGCUGAUUGGCUGGAAUGUUUCUGCUG
RNAcentral lists this microRNA precursor (173 nucleotides) under Pelobates cultripes (western spadefoot toad). Lineage: Eukaryota; Metazoa; Chordata; Amphibia; Anura; Pelobatidae. The record is from RNAcentral.